GAUAUGGAAUAUUGCAACAUGACCAAUUUUUUUUUUUGUUGUGGCAGUUAUUAUUUUUACUAAGGUUGAGCAAGGAUACCUUUACUGACCUUUUUAUUUUCUAGUUGGGGAGCUGUUGGAAGCCUCUGAGGAAGGGUGAUGGCAUUUAGAAAUUAGGUCUUUUCUCCUAAGCUGUAGCUAUUUCCAAGAAUUUAAAUCAAUCUUUAAUUCUUUGCAGAAAUGGCAGGGAACAAACAGCAAAUUCAACUUGGUUUUGUUUCUGUUAUCUGUGUGUGAAACAAAAUAAAGAAGUUCAGCCUAGAUAGGAUCUGCAUGAAUGUUGAUGGAGAAACAAGAAUUGGAACUUGGCCUUCUAGUAGGAAGGAAAAAGAACAAAACCUCUGUGUGUACCUCAAGACAUUGCUCUUGCUGUAAGAAUAGGAUGCAGGACUAACACCCUAUCUCUGGUAAGUUUCUAAAGAAACUGGAGUUUAGAUUAACUUUGUCAAUGGCUGACCUUUCUAGCUUGUCUGUUUCUUUCCAAUUAUCCAAUUCCUAUGGGGAUGGUGAACAUAUUUGCAUGGUUGCUGCAGGUAGUUCUGGUGAUAGGGACCUUCAUAAACAAGCUGAAAUGACUUGUACAUCUUAAAUUUGGCAAUUGAAGACUCUGAAUGACAGUAAGUUAUUGGGAGGGAAACAAACAUUAUCAUCAGAGAAAUCAAAGGAAUUUUGGAAGUUCUGCUUAUUAGAUUAAUGAUCUCUGACCAAUCUGCACAAAGCCUUCUUCUUGGACUAGAAAUA
This 780-nucleotide long non-coding RNA is filed under the name Elaeis guineensis (African oil palm). RNAcentral describes it as "long non-coding RNA (EGUI_LNC049549)". Lineage: Eukaryota; Viridiplantae; Streptophyta; Magnoliopsida; Arecales; Arecaceae. The record is from RNAcentral.